GCCUGCUUCAGCAGAGCAUAUACUAAAAUUGGAAUGAUGCUGAGAAGAUUAGCAUGGCUCUUGCACAAGGAUGACACAAAUUUGUGAAGUGUUCCAUAUUUUU
Small nuclear RNA from Manis javanica (Malayan pangolin), 103 nucleotides. Lineage: Eukaryota; Metazoa; Chordata; Mammalia; Pholidota; Manidae. The record is from RefSeq and is a predicted model, not a curated record.